CCUACGGGAGGCAGCAGUGAGGAAUAUUGGUCAAUGGGCGCGAGCCUGAACCAGCCAAGUAGCGUGAAGGAUGACUGCCCUACGGGUUGUAAACUUCUUUUAUAAAGGAAUAAAGUGAGGCACGUGUGCCUUUUUGUAUGUACUUUAUGAAUAAGGAUCGGCUAACUCCGUGCCAGCAGCCGCGGUAAUACGGAGGAUCCGAGCGUUAUCCGGAUUUAUUGGGUUUAAAGGGAGCGUAGAUGGGUUGUUAAGUCAGUUGUGAAAGUUUGCGGCUCAACCGUAAAAUUGCAAUUGAUACUGGCGGUCUUGAGUACAGUUGAGGUAGGCGGAAUUCGUGGUGUAGCGGUGAAAUGCUUAGAGAUCACGAAGAACUCCGAUUGCGAAGGCAGCUUACUAAGCUGCCACUGACAUUGAUGCUCGAAAGUGUGGGUAUCAAACAGGAUUAGAUACCCUUGUAGUC
This 460-nucleotide ribosomal RNA is filed under the name uncultured bacterium. RNAcentral describes it as "partial 16S ribosomal RNA". It matches the Rfam family "Bacterial small subunit ribosomal RNA", at positions 338 to 795 of the family's 1533-position model. The record is from RNAcentral.